This 2720-nucleotide long non-coding RNA is filed under the name Homo sapiens (human). RNAcentral's name for it is "non-protein coding lnc-SHC3-4:1". Lineage: Eukaryota; Metazoa; Chordata; Mammalia; Primates; Hominidae. The record is from RNAcentral.
UAAUUAUAAUGUGUUUUGGUGUGGAUUUCUUUGAGUUUAUCAAAUUUGGAUUUUGCUCAACUUCAUAGGUAUAUGGCUUCUGCCAAACUUAGGAAGUUGUCACGUAUUAUUUAUCUGAAUACUUUUUGAGCUUUACACUCUUUUUCCUCUCCUUCUGGAACUCCAAUAAUAUGAAGAUUAGAUUUUUGUUGUUGUUGUUACUGCGUCUUAGUCUCCUGAUCUUUCUUUAGGAAGAGACUUGCCCCAGAUGCACGUGGCUGCUGCUCACUUUGGGGUAAAGGCAUUGCAGAGGUUUGCAAAUACUCUCUUCCAAACUUGCCUGUUCAUCCCUUAUUUUCCUAAAUGUCUCCUUAUUUGAAUGUAAAUUCUAUGAGAUUCUAGGGAAUUUCAUGAGAUAGACCAAUGUCACCUUAGUUACUACAAUGUCUCAGUCACCAGAGACAUGCCAAUUAAAUGGAGAGUGAGGAGUAAAUGUAAAAAUGGUAGAAUGCCUUUAAUGAAUUUUAUUUACCUGAAAUCAUUGUACACAUGGUUUUUUUAAUUUUGUUUUGUUUUGAGACUGAGUCUUGCUCUGUUGCCAGGCUGGAGUGCAAUGGCGCGAUCUUGGAUCACUGCAACCUCCGCCUCCUGGUUCAAGCAAUUCUUUGCCUCAGCCUCCCAAGUAGCUGGGAUUACAGGUGCCUGCCACCAUACCCAGCUAAUUUUUGUAUUUUUAGUAGAGAUGGGGUUUCACCAUCUUGGCCAGGCUGGUCUUGAACUCCUGACCUCGUGAUCCACCCACCUCGGCCUCCCAAAGCGCUGGGAUUAUAGGCGUGAGCCACUGUGCCUGGCCAUACACAUAGUUUUAAAAGUGUUUUUAUUGCUUUGUUUCUGAUUGCAGAUAAUACGUAUCAGUUAUAGAAAUGUGGAAUGUGAGCAUAAGAAAAAGAAAUGAUUACUUGUGACACCAUCAUCAGAGGUAACUAUGUUUGUAUACAUAUACUAACGUACAAUACAUAUACAUAUUUGGAUCUAUGCAUAUGUAUACAAACAUUACAUAAAGAGAUAGUUGGGUCUGGCAUUUGAUUUUAUCCCUGUUAGUCUUUUGUGGAUUCUGACAGUUGCUACAAGACUUCUAGGUCACAGACAACAUUAUUACUCACAGCACAGCAAGCAGCCGGACCAUCAGCAUGUUUGUGUCAGUUCCUCUUGCUCCCAAGUCCCAUGAGGCUGACACAGUGAACCCACACAGCACUUGCACAGGCAGUGAGUUGCACACAGAAGAAGAAUGCAAGCUUGGAGGAAUCUGUUGCUUUUAUAGCAAGCAGUAAGCAAACCUGCUCCUUAUUCCAGAGGGAAACAUGAUCUCAUCCUUCAGUGCAGCUUGCUGCAAACACAACCUUGAGAAGUGGCCUUGGCAAAGAGUAUUUAGGGCCUCUUUUUUUUUUUUUUGAAAUGGAGUCUUGCUCUUUUGCCCAGGCUGGAGUGCAGUGGUGCAAUCUUGGCUCACUGCAUCCUCUGCCUCCCAGGUUCAAGUGAUUCUUCGGCCUCAGCCUCCCAAGCAGCUGAGAUUACAGGCACCCGCCACCACACCCAGCUAAUUUUUGUAUUUUUAGUAGAGAUGGGGUUUCACCAUGUUGACCAGGCUGGUCUCAAACUCCUGACCUCAGGUGAUCCAUCUGCCUCGGCCUCCCAAAGUGCUGGAAUUACAGGCGUGAGCCACCAUGCUCGGCUUGGGGCCUCCCAUUCUUGUCAUACCUGGUAAGAUGUGUAGAAGCAUGAGAGAUGCAUACGGGACUGUCUCUCUCAACACAUACAUUUCAUAUAAGGAGCAUAGUUCAUAACGUUUGAGUCACAGUAAUGUGGUGUAUUAGUCCGUUCUCACACUGCCAUAAAGAAUCGCCCAAGACUGGGUAAUUUCUAAAGAAAAGAAGUUUGAUUGGCUCACAGUUCUGCAUGGCUUGGGAGGCCUCAGGAAACUUACAAUCAUGGCUGAAGGGGAAGCAGGCACAUCUUACAUGGCAGCAGGUGAGAUAGUGUGUGAAGGAAGUGAAGGGGAGAGAGUCCCUUAUGAAACUAUCAGAUCUCGUGAGAACUCACUCACUAUCGUGAGAAUAGCAUGGGGGAAACCAGCCCUAUAAUCCCAUCACCUUCCACCAAUUCCUUCCCUCGAUACCUGGGGAUUACAAUUCGAUAUGAGAUUUGGGUGGGGACACAAACCCAAACCAUAUCAUGUGGUCCUCCCUAGUACUCAGCAAGACUGGGAGACAGGUGACUGAGGAGAGCCUUCUGUAGCUCAAAGUCUUCAUCAGUACUGACCAUUUCAGCCCAGUGUUCAGGAGAAAUUCAGGGAACUGUUGAAGCAGUGAAGACCAAGAGAUAAAAGUGCUUCUGUGGAAACCUCUGUCACAAGGGUUGGAGGCUGUGGGGAUUUGCACAGCAACACUGUGUGACAGAGGAGAGAAGAUAUGAGGGAGCAGCUGCCAACGUUCACAAAGAUUGCCAUGGAUGGGGUCAUCUGCUCAACACAUUCUCUAGGUAGAGAGCACAUCUGUUUUUGAAAGUGAAAUGGUAGUCCUUGUUUCAGAAAAGAGAACAAGAGUUUAGCAUUUUUGAGGGAUCACCCCCUUUGGUGGAAGUCAUCUGAUAUGAGUGAAUUUGGACCUGUGAAUAGUGGAGAUAAGCCCAUUCCAGAGCAGGGCAUGGGGUGACCAUGUGGAGGAGAUGACAGUGGAUUCUAC